AGAGCCAUUUUGUUUUUAUUUUUUUUAGGUUUUGAAACAAGGAAACAAACUUUUAUGAGGGGAAACAACUAAUCUUCUAAGGUAAUAGUAGAGGCCAUUUUAGAAAACGUGUAGCAAAACGCCAUUAAAAGAGCUAUUCAAGAAAUAACUACUUUAGUACUGCUAAUUACAAGUAAAAAUGUUUUUUCUUAGAAAAUUAGAUUAUAUCACAUAACCCACACAGAGGGUAAGCCAAAAAAGAUAACCUCUUAAAAAUUGCUGACUGCUUAACGACAUUGACAAUCAAUAGAAAUAGUGGCAUACAUGGUGCAAAUGUAUACAAUUUAUUUAAUUAUUUAUUGGAUUUUGUGACAGCCGACCCUACUGUCACACAGACCUGAAUGUUUCCUUUGGAGCUGCUGCUGGAGGGUCACAGAAGAGCUCCAGCUAAUUGACAUCCAUAUAUGGCUGGCAAACCUCCUCAGCGGGCCAUUCCAUUUGUUUGCCAGGGGACGGGGAAAUUUGGUUUUCUUUCAUUUAAUUUGACCAGUUCUUUAAUGUCUCUUCCAUUUGGUAGUUUCAGUCCAAUGUUUGUUUAAUUUAAAGAUUUGGUGUUGUAUUGAUUAGUAUUUAUUUAAGUUUUUGUAUGUUUAAUUACCCCUUGUGUGUCAGCUGUGGUCUGAUCAGCCACUAUUUAAGCUCCCCUCAUGUCUUGUUUGUUAGGUCAGUUUUGUGCUUGAGUUCUUUGUGUUACUACCUGAGUUGGAGUUUGUUAUGUUGACCUCAGUUUUUGGGCCCAGUUCUUCAUUGUUUAAUUAUUUUUGAACUUUUUUGUAAUAAAUUAAGAUUAUUUUUGGAUUCCA
Molecule: non-coding RNA, 842 nt
Organism: Poecilia reticulata (guppy)
Lineage: Eukaryota; Metazoa; Chordata; Actinopteri; Cyprinodontiformes; Poeciliidae
Source: RefSeq, a predicted model, not a curated record